AGUGAACGCUGGCGGUAGGCCUAACACAUGCAAGUCGAACGGCAGCACAGUAAGAGCUUGCUCUUACGGGUGGCGAGUGGCGGACGGGUGAGGAAUACAUCGGAAUCUACUUUUUCGUGGGGGAUAACGUAGGGAAACUUACGCUAAUACCGCAUACGACCUACGGGUGAAAGCAGGGGAUCUUCGGACCUUGCGCGAUUGAAUGAGCCGAUGUCGGAUUAGCUAGUUGGCGGGGUAAAGGCCCACCAAGGCGACGAUCCGUAGCUGGUCUGAGAGGAGGAUCGGCGACACGGGAAGUGAGACACGGUCCAGACUCCUACGGGAGGCAGCAGUGGGGAAUAUUGGACAAUGGGCGCAAGCCUGAUCCAGCCAUACCGCGUGGGUGAAGAAGGCCUUCGGGUUGUAAAGCCCUUUUGUUGGGAAAGAAAAGCAGCAGGUUAAUACCCCGCUGUUCUGACGGUACCCAAAGAAUAAGCACCGGCUAACUUCGUG
Molecule: ribosomal RNA, 492 nt
Filed under: uncultured bacterium
Lineage: Bacteria
Description: partial 16S ribosomal RNA
Rfam family: Bacterial small subunit ribosomal RNA
Source: RNAcentral